RNAcentral lists this small nucleolar RNA (69 nucleotides) under Drosophila ananassae. RNAcentral's name for it is "snoRNA:GF26185". Lineage: Eukaryota; Metazoa; Arthropoda; Insecta; Diptera; Drosophilidae. The record is from RNAcentral.
UCUGUGAUGUUUUCAAACCUUAUUACCUACAUUAUUUGAACGAGACCAUGUAAACAAAACAAAACUGAG